Molecule: ribosomal RNA, 253 nt
Filed under: uncultured bacterium
Lineage: Bacteria
Description: partial 16S ribosomal RNA
Rfam family: Bacterial small subunit ribosomal RNA
Source: RNAcentral
UACGGAGGGUGCAAGCGUUGCUCGGAUUUAUUGGGCGUAGAGGGUAGGUAGGUGGUCUUAUUUGUCUAGGGUGAAAUCCUUGAGCUUAACUCAAGGAGUGCCCUAGAAACGGUAAGACUAGAGUCCUGGAGAGGGUCGUGGAAUUCCUGGUGUAGCGGUGAAAUGCGCAGAUAUCAGGAGGAACACCGGUGGCGAAGGCGGGUCUCUGGGCCGAUAUCGACGCUGAGGAGCGAAAGCGUGGGGAGCGAACAGG